UUUUUAAUAGUGUAUAAACACAGAAAAUUUUCGUUUUUCAAAUCCAAAAUAUAAUGGUUAAAAUA
RNAcentral lists this transfer RNA (65 nucleotides) under Chaetoderma nitidulum. RNAcentral describes it as "tRNA-Glu". Lineage: Eukaryota; Metazoa; Mollusca; Caudofoveata; Chaetodermatida; Chaetodermatidae. The record is from RNAcentral.